RNAcentral lists this ribosomal RNA (301 nucleotides) under uncultured bacterium. RNAcentral's name for it is "partial 16S ribosomal RNA". It matches the Rfam family "Bacterial small subunit ribosomal RNA", at positions 509 to 807 of the family's 1533-position model. The record is from RNAcentral.
CAGUCGCCACGGUAAUACAGAGGGUGCAAGCGUUAAUCGGAAUUACUGGGCGUAAAGCGCGCGUAGGUGGUUUGUUAAGUUGGAUGUGAAAUCCCCGGGCUCAACCUGGGAACUGCAUCCAAAACUGGCAAGCUAGAGUAUGUUAGAGGGUGGUGGAAUUUCCUGUGUAGCGGUGAAAUGCGUAGAUAUAGGAAGGAACACCAGUGGCGAAGGCGACCACCUGGACUGAUACUGACACUGAGGUGCGAAAGCGUGGGGAGCAAACAGGAUUAGAGACCCCGGUAGUCCCUGUCUCUUAUAC